AGUCCCUUCACCCCACCAUCCCUGUUUGACAAGGAAAUCGGGAGUCAAAAACGCACCAGGUGGCACAGAAAAGACUUAAGAGCCCACCUAAUUAGGCUUUUGAUAUCAGGCAAGCCGACCACAGGUGUGGCCCAUAAAUUUUGAUACUAACAUGUGUAAUAUUUAUUUGAAAUCUAAAAGAAUGAUAACUAGCAAAGAUGUAGGUCACAAAGAAAUGGCUAAUUCAAAGCUCACUCAAAAGCAACAAUCAUGGAUAGCAGAUGGUGAAAAAAAUAAAAAUAAAAAAGCAACAACCACACAACAAUUUUACCACAUGAUGAUGGGCCUUCUUACCCAAAGAUUGCCCCCUAACGCUAAUUUCCAUUUCAUAUGGAAGGAUUAUGAGUUUAACCCCUAGCAAAUGUUACAAUAUCACCCUUUUAAUAGUGCUGUCCAUAUAGGUAACCCUUCCAUGUACUAAUAGCCUCAUAGAACGGUUAUCAGACCAGGGGUGUACCUAUGAGAGAUUUUCGCAUCAAUUUACUGGUCUUAUACAAGUGCAAUAACCACUGAUGAACAAAAACAAAAACACAUAUAAUUUCUUAGUUUUCAUAAAGGAAGAACUAAAAUUACCUAUUUCAUAGAAAGUAAAAAAUAAAACUGAAGUACAUACCUCCAGAUUUCUCGUAAUGUUUGUCUUGUAGUCAUAUUUAAUGCCCUGGAUGGAUCCUUCUAUUAAUUGCAAACAGUACAAACAGUAAAUCAUGUUAGUAACAAUCUAAAAAUUGUGCCAAAGUCACUUAAAUAUUAUUUGCAAGUCAAUCCAUUACUUGAAUUUAUUUGGAAGUCAACCUGUUCUGUCUAGAUAACCAUAAUUCUUUUCCCUUUUCCCCCCUUAAUUUUUUAAAUUUCUUCCAAGGUUCUCAAUUUCAUUCCCAGUUAUGAUUUCUACAUCCAAUUUUAUGGCAAAGUAUCAAUGCAAGGGUGAGAACACAACAAUCACCCAUAUGGCAGCAUCUCUGGUUGAAAGACAUUGAAAUUUUGUUAAAAGACAUCAUAUUUAUAUCAAAAUUUUCUCUAUCCAAAAGUAUUAAAUUGAAGCCAAUUUUUCCAUACUAUCAUAAUCUCAUUCAAAACAAAUGCUAAGUCAUAUAUUAGACCAGCCAAAUAAAGGAUAUGCAUCAAACAUAAAAGUUUUGGCAAGAGAGAAUUUAUAAUGUUUUGCUCAUUGAUAAUCAGGUCCAAAUAUCAAAGGAACAAGUAAGAUUGCAAGAACCGGCACCAGCAUUGUGGUUCUGAUCAAUGAUCUAUCUCAUCUAGAAAACUUCAUCAACCAUACGCCCUUCCUCUCUUAUCUUUUAUCUUAUGUACCACUGUAAUAUGUUAUCUUUUAAUUUUUUGCCUUUCGUUUUUGUAAAAUUUUUAGCAGAAAGAGUAGGGGGUGAUAAAAAAAUUAUCUGUACAAAAAUUGUAGACGCAUUUUUAACAAAGGCUGGUUUCAGAGUAUUACCUCUAUCUGCCUUCUGGUCCUUGCAACAUCUAAUGGGCACGUAGCAGCAGCUGCCAGAGUUCCUGCAACAAAACCAGCAGAAAAGUUU
This 1577-nucleotide unclassified non-coding RNA is filed under the name Hevea brasiliensis (rubber tree). The record is from RNAcentral. Lineage: Eukaryota; Viridiplantae; Streptophyta; Magnoliopsida; Malpighiales; Euphorbiaceae.